UGAAGUUUUUUUUUUUAUGUUGUACCAUCUUCUUCAGUUUUUAUACCUGAUUCUGGAAAUUUUUAUGCAAUGAAAUAAAGAAAUUAGCAUAUGCAGUUUCACUCCCUCUUCUUCCCUGUGAAAAAAUCUCUAUGAAUUUUAAUGAUAUUAAUCCUUAAUUUGUUUUGAUUUAUUUGUGGUCAGGAUGAGAAGUGCCUAUUUAUAUCUAAUGGGUUAGUAUUUUCUCCAUUGCUAUCGAUUAGAUGGUGGUGAUUCAAUCAAUCUGUCACUUCUCUAUGAUUAUUCUUUCUUUCAAAAUACACCUACCUAGGUUCGACCUUCCAAAGUGAUGGUUAUCUAUUAAUGUUUUAAUUUUUGGGACAGUGACAAUGCCACAAAGUUUAUGUCCUUGGUUGAUCGUCACAUAACUAUCUUCUUUCCCAAAAGUUGGUAAGCGUAUUGGGGCAGGUUUAUUUAUUUCGUAAUGUUUGAUUUCAUAGUUAAUACUCUUUUAAACUGGAGAAAUGUCUGCAUUUGAUAAUGUUGUUGGUGGAAAGCUGAAACUUAAUGGGAAGGCUCUGGAUGUAAAAGCUGGUGGAGUGAAGAAAAAAAAGAAGCAAAAGAAGCACCACGAGCAAAUUUGUGGAAUGUUAAUGGGUAAGGUUGGGGCACAUUAUUUAUUUUAUUUAUCUUUGUCCUUUUAUGUUCUAAAUUUAUUUAACUACUACUCUUUGUACAAGUUGAGUAAUGGUAACUCAUGUAGACAGUGUACCCCAAUCAUUGGUUUGUCUAGUUGUGUCUGUUGAAGUUAUUGGUGUGCCUAUUUCAUGAGUUAUAACAACUAAAUUGUGAGGACAAUGUUUGGGGAAGGACAGUGGAGAAAAAAUGCUUAUUACAUGUGUAAGUUUUUAUGAAGUAGUUUCAACCUGUUAAGUGAUAGUCUGUUCCUAGAAAAUAUAUCAAUUUUUUCUCUUUGUUUUAGUUGUCAAUGUUAUUUAUGGCGUAUGAAUGAGUGUGAUGAGGGAAAAGAAUAUAUUAUUUGCAUGCAUCUUAUAUUCUAGAUUGAUUUAUAGACUUGGGAUCAUUAACAUCAGAUUUAGAACAUCUGGUUGGGCCAUUAAACUAGGUGCUGCCAAUGAACUUAUGCUAUAUACCCAAAUCUUGAAAUUCUUGGCCUAUACUUGACAUUCCUUCUACUUAUUAAGAUAAAGAUUAUGUGGGUUUGGAAUGCAUCCAGUAAUAUCUGUGCCUGCUAGAAAAAAAAAACAAUAAAUUCAGUGUCAGUCAUCUUGAAUUUAAGGUGCUGCACAUUUACUGAGAUUGCAGAUAAAUAUCUUGGUUUAGUUCUUCGUAGAAUCUGUCAAAGACACUGGAAUCGGAAUAUGCUUGGAAAAUCUCAUCCUCAAAUAAAUUUCCCUGGGGAAACUGUAUGUUCAUUUAGCUAGAGCAAGUUUGAUUUGCUGAUAGAUUCUCGGGUUGUUGAAGUUGUAGACUUUGUUGAUUAAUAUGAUCACAUACUUAGGGGCAUCAACUUCUUAUUUGUGUCUUUAAAAUAGCUUUGUCCAUUUCUGCUGAUGGUGUAUCCAAUCAUCAUUUCAAUAUGUUGGUCUCCCAAAAAUAGUGAUAAAUGGUUGCUGAUUAGUAGUCUAUAAUUCUAAUGUUAAUGCUGUAGCAUGGGAAAAUAUAUGGCUCAGAUGAUGAGAAAUGUUUGAAGUACAUUUCGCAUCUGAUUCAUUAUGCAUCAGCCCUUGAGCAUAAUAAACAUGAAUUUCCAACUUUUCCUUGUAUGUUUUAGCAUAUCGUGCAGCUGGAUGCUUUUGAACGUGGAAAACUUCAUUUCAAGACUCGAUUCUCGUCAAACAAAAAACUUGGUGAAAGUCCUAAAAAUUUAGCAUGUAAGGCGAUUUUACAUUUUCUAUGUUAAUGUCGAUGAAGUUCAAUUAUUUUCCUUAGAAAUGAUUAAAUUUGAUAUAGUUU
Molecule: long non-coding RNA, 1956 nt
Filed under: Olea europaea subsp. europaea
Lineage: Eukaryota; Viridiplantae; Streptophyta; Magnoliopsida; Lamiales; Oleaceae
Source: RNAcentral